AUGUACCACGCGUACACUCCGGUUCCUGCCCGCCGUCCGCACCCACUUGACGAGUGCUCGCUACGUUGUGUUAGCC
This 76-nucleotide small RNA is filed under the name Xanthomonas fragariae. Its description in RNAcentral is "sX9 sRNA". It matches the Rfam family "Xanthomonas sRNA sX9". The record is from RNAcentral. Lineage: Bacteria; Pseudomonadati; Pseudomonadota; Gammaproteobacteria; Lysobacterales; Lysobacteraceae.